GGGCUGCUCCUAGUACGAGAGGACCGGAGUGGACGCAUCACUGGUGUUCGGGUUGUCAUGCCAAUGGCACUGCCCGGUAGCUAAAUGCGGAAGAGAUAAGUGCUGAAAGCAUCUAAGCACGAAACUUGCCCCGAGAUGAGUUCUCCCUGAGACUUAAAGUCUCCUGAAGGAACGUUGAAGACGACGACGUUGAUAGGCCGGGUGUGUAAGCGCAGCGAUGCGUUGAGCUAACCGGUACUAAUGAACCGUGAGGCUUAACCUUACAACGCCGAAG
RNAcentral lists this ribosomal RNA (274 nucleotides) under Salmonella enterica. RNAcentral's name for it is "partial 23S ribosomal RNA". It matches the Rfam family "Bacterial large subunit ribosomal RNA", at positions 2669 to 2925 of the family's 2925-position model. The record is from RNAcentral. Lineage: Bacteria; Pseudomonadati; Pseudomonadota; Gammaproteobacteria; Enterobacterales; Enterobacteriaceae.